This 468-nucleotide ribosomal RNA is filed under the name uncultured bacterium. Its description in RNAcentral is "partial 16S ribosomal RNA". It matches the Rfam family "Bacterial small subunit ribosomal RNA", at positions 28 to 507 of the family's 1533-position model. The record is from RNAcentral.
GACGAACGCUGGCGGCGUGCUUAACACAUGCAAGUCGAACGGAAAGGCCCUGCUUUUGUGGGGUGCUCGAGUGGCGAACGGGUGAGUAACACGUGAGUAACCUGCCCUUGACUUUGGGAUAACUUCAGGAAACUGGGGCUAAUACCGGAUAGGAGCUCCUGCUGCAUGGUGGGGGUUGGAAAGUUUCGGCGGUUGGGGAUGGACUCGCGGCUUAUCAGCUUGUUGGUGGGGUAGUGGCUUACCAAGGCUUUGACGGGUAGCCGGCCUGAGAGGGUGACCGGCCACAUUGGGACUGAGAUACGGCCCAGACUCCUACGGGAGGCAGCAGUGGGGAAUAUUGCUCAAUGGGCGGAAGCCCGAUGCAGCAACGCCGCGUGCGGGAUGACGGCCUUCGGGUUGUAAACCGCUUUCGCCUGUGACGAAGCGUGAGUGACGGUAAUGGGUAAAGAAGCACCGGCUAACUACGUG